Molecule: ribosomal RNA, 488 nt
Filed under: uncultured bacterium
Lineage: Bacteria
Description: partial 16S ribosomal RNA
Rfam family: Bacterial small subunit ribosomal RNA
Source: RNAcentral
GACGAACGCUGGCGGCGUGCUUAACACAUGCAAGUCGAACGGAAAGGCCCUGCUUUUGUGGGGUGCUCGAGUGGCGAACGGGUGAGUAACACGUGAGUAACCUGCCCUUGACUUUGGGAUAACUUCAGGAAACUGGGGCUAAUACCGGAUAGGAGCUCCUGCUGCAUGGUGGGGGUUGGAAAGUUUCGGCGGUUGGGGCUGGACUCGCGGCGUAUCAGCUUGUUGGUGGGGUAGUGGCUUACAAAGGUUUUGCAGGGUACCCGGCGUGAGAGGGUGAUAGGCCACAGUGGAAGUGAGACACGGUCCAGAGUACUACGGGAGGAAGCAGUCGGGAAGGUUCCGCACAGGGGGAAGGGGUGGCGGAGGAACGCGGCGUGAGUGAUGGAGGUCUGGGGAUCGUGAAACGCUGUUAUUAGGGAAGAACAAAUGUGGAAGUAAAUAUGCACGUAUUGACGGUACCUAAUCAGAAAGCAAGGGCUAAGUACGUG